Molecule: ribosomal RNA, 252 nt
Filed under: uncultured microorganism
Description: partial 16S ribosomal RNA
Rfam family: Bacterial small subunit ribosomal RNA
Source: RNAcentral
UACGUAGGUCCCGAGCGUUGUCCGGAUUUAUUGGGCGUAAAGCGAGCGCAGGUGGUUUAAUAAGUCUGAUGUAAAAGGCAGUGGCUCAACCAUUGUGUGCAUUGGAAACUGUUAGACUUGAGUGCAGUAGAGGAGAGUGGAAUUCCAUGUGUAGCGGUGAAAUGCGUAGAUAUAUGGAGGAACACCGGAGGCGAAAGCGGCUAUCUGGCGCACACCUGACGCUGAGGCACGAAAGCUAGGGGAGCAAACAGG